This is a small nuclear RNA of Rattus norvegicus (Norway rat), 65 nucleotides long. Ensembl annotates it as U7 small nuclear RNA. The record is from Ensembl. NCBI's taxonomy places the organism in Eukaryota, Metazoa, Chordata, Mammalia, Rodentia, Muridae.
GAGUGAACACAGCUCUUUUAGAAUUUUUUUUUUCUGGCUUUCUAAUUUUGAUUGAGAAAACCCAA